GCCCGGGUGGUGAAAUUGGUAGACACGCAGGACUUAAAAUCCUGUGACCCCAAAAGGUCGUGCGGGUUCAAGUCCCGCCCUGGGUA
Molecule: transfer RNA, 86 nt
Filed under: Chryseolinea serpens
Lineage: Bacteria; Pseudomonadati; Bacteroidota; Cytophagia; Cytophagales; Fulvivirgaceae
Description: Sphingobacteria bacterium RYG tRNA
Rfam family: tRNA
About the family: Transfer RNA (tRNA) molecules are approximately 80 nucleotides in length. Their secondary structure includes four short double-helical elements and three loops (D, anti-codon, and T loops).
Source: Rfam by way of RNAcentral